CACAAUAAAACGAUUUGAAAACUAGCAGCCUGAGUGGGGCUUCGCCCCCCAUUUCUGGCUCCUACUCUAUUUUCGAAAGCGUGCCUUCUCCAAAACCUCAAAAGCACCUGGUUGGGUGCCUAAAAACCCACCGUCUUUUCGGCUUAUGACUGGCAGAGACCGUUGUAAACCGGAUUAUCGGUUAACUAUAUCAGGUGACCAGAGCCUCAUCACGCCCUACCCCCCCUGUUUUCCAGCGUGAUGCUACUGUUUUGGCUUUACGUGCAACUUGCAUGGCAUCCAGACAAUACUGUGAGGGCUCCGCCGAGACAGGGUUACGCCUCUCAUCUUGCGUUGCCGGCGCCUCGUGUUCCCGUCUCCGCUUGAUGAGAGGAUGCCUUUUGCGACGCAUUUGAUGCUCCGCUCGAGGGACUACUUAACUGUCUUUUGCAAACACAUGUGACGACCGUUGUUUAUCAGCUCGUUUGUUCUCUUGUUGGUUUCCGUACUGGUAUAACAUGGCCUAAAGGUUGUGGUACGUGGGCUGGGAUCCACGAGUGAUUGAACCCGCUGACGAAACGAUGGAACGUCAAGAUUUACUACAUUUUACACUUUUAGCGGUGGAUGUCUUGGCUCACACAACGAUGAAGGACGCAGCGAAUUGCGAUAAGCAUUGUGACUUGCAGACUUCUGCGAAUCAACAGAUUUCUGAACGUAUUAGACACACCACCUCUGCUUGCACGUGGAACUCCCAUUUCAGUGAACCUCAUCUUCUAACAAACAACCGCUUUGCGAAUUCUGUUGA
Molecule: ribosomal RNA, 784 nt
Filed under: Theileria sp.
Lineage: Eukaryota; Apicomplexa; Aconoidasida; Piroplasmida; Theileriidae
Description: partial 18S ribosomal RNA
Rfam family: 5.8S ribosomal RNA (bases 589-744)
Source: RNAcentral